AAAGGCGAAAAGAACCCCGGCGAGGGGAGUGAAAAAGAACCUGAAACCGUGUACGUACAAGCAGUGGGAGCCCCACCACUAAGCCAGUGGUGAACUCCACAUACGCAUCCUUUGCUGAGGAUACGGUUAACGGAGCGAAAGCGACGUUCAACCUCAAAAGAAGCAGAGGGGGCUUAGUGGUGGGGUGACUGCGUACCUUUUGUAUAAUGGGUCAGCGACUUAUAUUCUGUAGCAAGGUUAACCGAAUAGGGGAGCCGGAGGGAAACCGAGUCUUAAUUGGGCGUUAAGUUGCAGGGUAUAGACCCGAAACCCGGUGAUCUAGCCAUGGGCAGGUUGAAGGUUGGGUAACACUAACUGGAGGACCGAACCGACUAAUGUUGAAAAAUUAGCGGAUGACCUGUGGCUGGGGGUGAAAGGCCAAUCAAACCGGGAGAUAGCUGGUUCUCCCCGAAAGCUAUUUAGGUAGCGCCUCGUGAAUUCAUCUCCGGGGGUAGAGCACUGUUUCGGCUAGGGGGUCAUCCCGACUUACCAACCCGAUGCAAACUGCGAAUACCGGAGAAUGUUAUCACGGGAGACACACGGCGGGUGCUAACGUCCGUCGUGAAGAGGGAAACAACCCAGACCGCCAGCUAAGGUCCCAAAGUCAUGGUUAAGUGGGAAACGAUGUGGGAAGGCCCAGACAGCCAGGAUGUUGGCUUAGAAGCAGCCAUCAUUUAAAGAAAGCGUAAUAGCUCACUGGUCGAGUCGGCCUGCGCGGAAGAUGUAACGGGGCUAAACCAUGCACCGAAGCUGCGGCAGCGACACUGUGUGUUGUUGGGUAGGGGAGCGUUCUGUAAGCCGUUGAAGGUGUGUCGUGAGGCAUGCUGGAGGUAUCAGAAGUGCGAAUGCUGACAUAAGUAACGAUAAUGCGGGUGAAAAACCCGCACGCCGGAAGACCAAGGGUUCCUGUCCAACGUUAAUCGGGGCAGGGUGAGUCGACCCCUAAGGCGAGGCCGAAAGGCGUAGUCGAUGGGAAACGGGUUAAUAUUCCCGUACUUGGUGUUACUGCGAAGGGGGGACGGAGAAGGCUAUGUUGGCCGGGCGACGGUUGUCCCGGUUUAAGCGUGUAGGUGUGUGUUCCAGGUAAAUCCGGUUCACUUUAACACUGAGGCGUGAUGACGAGGCACUACGGUACU
Molecule: ribosomal RNA, 1175 nt
Filed under: Salmonella enterica
Lineage: Bacteria; Pseudomonadati; Pseudomonadota; Gammaproteobacteria; Enterobacterales; Enterobacteriaceae
Description: partial 23S ribosomal RNA
Rfam family: Bacterial large subunit ribosomal RNA
Source: RNAcentral